This 65-nucleotide transfer RNA is filed under the name Liposcelis decolor. RNAcentral's name for it is "tRNA-Gly". The record is from RNAcentral. Lineage: Eukaryota; Metazoa; Arthropoda; Insecta; Psocodea; Liposcelididae.
AACUUUAUUAAUAUAUAUUAGUAUGUAUGAUUUCCAAUCAAAAAGACCCCAUAGGGAUAAAGUUG